This is a long non-coding RNA of Ailuropoda melanoleuca (giant panda), 2434 nucleotides long. RefSeq lists it as uncharacterized. NCBI's taxonomy places the organism in Eukaryota, Metazoa, Chordata, Mammalia, Carnivora, Ursidae. The transcript has 3 exons. The record is from RefSeq and is a predicted model, not a curated record.
UGAAAAAUCUCCUCAGAGGGUGUCAGCAGGCCUUGUCUCUUCCUUCCUCCUUUAUGCUGGCAACAGUACAGAUGAUCUGACUGGAACGGAAACUCCUAUUUUGCACCAUGGGAGAGCAUGCUAAAGACAAUGGAACGAGAGAAGAGAAAGACCCUGAGUCCUUGAUGUUCAUGGAACUCCCAUGAUGGUGAUGAAUUACCUACAUUCGGACUUUUUAAAAUGAUUAAGGAAGAGGAACAAUCUUCUGUCCUAGGUUGUGCAUGUGGAGGUGUGGAACCCAAAGCCAUGGCAGCUGAGAGUCCCUGGGGCCAUAAGCCAGAGGCAUGCUGAAGAGUCGCAAGGAAGGUGCUAUCGGGUUGCACCUAGGGGAAGCUGGUAAGUCUGUGUGGAAACUGGUCACCACAACAGACAGUGAAGAAGUGGAUGGAGAGGAUUUGGAGUACUCCCCUAGCAGUGUUCCGUAUUUGCUCUUUGCCUGGGAUAGAAGUCUGCAUCUGGCCAGGGAAGUAGACCUCAAGACAUGGGGUCCGUGCUCCCUCCCGCUGAAUAGGAGUGGACUUGUGGCUCACUGUAACCGAUAGAAUACGCUGGAAAUGACCUUGUGUGCCUUCUGAAGCAAGUUCAGAGAACGUGAGGCAAGUUCUACUUUGUGAGCUGGGACACUCGGGAGCUGGGAGCUGCCAUGUCAGCAGCCAGCCUACCCUGAGGAUCCCAAGCUGUGCGAAAGCUGACACUGCCUGCAAAGGCAUUGGUUGAAACUCCAGCUGACCACGCAGCGUCAACUACCAGAGAGAAGAGCCCUUGAGUCUUCUCCGCUGAGCCCCGGCGAUCACGCGGGUAAGACAAGCCAUUCCCCACUGUGCUCAGUCUGAAUUCCUGACUCACAAAAUCCAGAAAGCAUCAUAAAGCGGCUGUUUAAGCAGCUAAGUUUUGAGGGAGACUUAACGUAUUAAAUGAAGGUCAAGUAACCGCGCAGCACGUUGUGUAGAUGAGAGACGUACCGCCGUUUGAGCAGCAAAAAGAAGCGGAGGAGUGGACUCGUCAUAAAGCACGAGGCGUUAUAGGCCUCUGGAACUCUUUCACGACUAAUGAAAUUCGUGCUUUUUGUGAAUCUGUUUCAGCAAAAUAUGAUCCUUCACAUUCAGUUAAUGUGAAUUUGAAUUUUAGAACUCAUAUGGUUUUGUUUUUAUGUAUUAUGUAAGUUAAUUUUGGUUCUCCGGUUGUUUAAAAAACUAUAAACAAAAGAAGGUGAUAUAUAACUAGUUGAAGCUGAUACAUAUAGGAUGCAUAUUACAAUAAGAGUAAUUUAGGUCAACCCUGAAAAAGUCCUUAAAAAUCAUUUCCAUUAAAAGGGUGCAUGCAAUAAUCAGAUUCGGGAAACACUACUUUGUAGUGUUAUCAGCUACCUUCUGCUUAAAAACCCACCAAAAUACUCUACUGCCUGUUGCCUUUGAAUUAAGUCCAAGCACCUCUGUAAGAAAACACAAGGCCCUUCACGAUCUCCCUCAGAUCUUCCUUCCCUUCAUCCAUUUGCCCUGUGUUCCAGCCACCCUGAACUUCUCCCCCAUCUCCUCAGAAACUCCUACCCUUCCUUAAAGACUCAGUUCAACUGCCACUUCCUCCGUGAAGUCUUUACGGAUUCAUAGGAUUCCGUCCGCUGUGCUCUCACCAUGUUUCCGUCCAGGCCUGGCGGAAAACAAGGGGCACAUUUGAAAACAUUACCUGAAAGCAGCUGUGACUUUUGGUCGCACAUGCAGGCAGCCCAUUGUGGAAGGAGCAGCAGAUUUAUACCUGACCUCGUGUUUAUCCCUUCCUCUGAUGUGCUGCCAGGGUCCUGUUGGCUGAACCCAACCAGAAGCCAAAGGGCAAAGAAACCCACUGACACAGUCGUCCGUACAGAUCAGCCUUCCCAGGGAAAAGCAAGGUGGAGAAGGAUGGAGGGAGGCUGUGGGAUGAGAGGGGAGCAAACCAUAUCCAAGCUCUUUAUUUAUACGUGAAUGACAGACAUUCUAUCGCAACCACCUAUUUUCAUGAGUGCCUUCCCCCUGGACUCUGACCCUGCCACCAUUACCUCCACAGUCUCUGCCCUUGGAAAAGGGCGUGGACAGAGGAGUCUCUUAGGAAGCGGUUUUUGAAUUAAUGAAUUGAUAAGGGAAUGGCAUAGAUGAGAACAGCAAGAGCAUAACUGGUGCUCUUGAAUGGUUUUCAAUUUUUAUUUUUAAAUGCUGUCUCUACAGUUGUUUUAUUUCUGUCUUUUGGAAUACACCCUCCCCCUUUUUUUCUGUAAUAGAGUUCUUGUGGGGUUUUUUUUUUCCCUAAGCAAAGCAGCUAUUUGUAUUGUAUUUUCGUUUAUUUGAAUCUUGUUACUGUGAUUUUAGCUCUUCAAGCCAGUUAGGAUUAUAUCUUAUAAUAAAGCUCAUUUUAAUCUGUUUUA